RNAcentral lists this long non-coding RNA (1374 nucleotides) under Homo sapiens (human). RNAcentral's name for it is "HSALNT0333970". Lineage: Eukaryota; Metazoa; Chordata; Mammalia; Primates; Hominidae. The record is from RNAcentral.
UACCUGUCCAUUCCAAGGAUUCGGUCCAGCAGAAGCGUGAGGAGGUGGCGGAGGCCCCGAGGGCUUUGCGUCAUCACUUCUGCGGCCUGCGGGCGAGAAGGUGCGCUUCGGGAGUAGCGCGGGAGGACAGGAGGCGCAGGUUGUGAGGGACGCAGGCCCUGGGGCUUCGGUCUCUGUCCUCCGAGCUCAGAGCCUCCAGGCUUCUUCCCGGCCGCGCGCUCAGCACUCACUGUCUUACGGUCCCGAAGCGCUUUAAGGUGCGCAGUCCGCAGGCCUUGCCUACUGAUCUUCCAGCCACCCCUUGAAGGAAGCAGUUGCAGACGCUGAGCACAGUGCCAAACCUAUAUAGAAACUCAUUUGGGAUAUGGAGGAGAAUAUGCCACCAGUUCUCCAAAGUGGAGGGUUCUUCCCAGCAGGAAACCUCUCAACUCUGGCUGGCUGACCUGCUGCCCUAGCCUCCCCCCUCCUCUCGCAGCUGUUGGGCCAAAAGACACAAAGAACGAGCCCAGUCCUCCUCGUCCCCACUCCUUGUGACCAGGGGAUAUGGACCUAAUGAAUCAUCAUUUUCAGUAUGGCUACCCUGCCUUUUUCCUCCACCCUUUCCCCCCAUUCUCCCUCAGACCUGGCUAAUUAAAAGGAAGGGAAACAGAAUGCAUAAUGUGGGUAACUAUACUGUAAUAACAGUUAACACAAAGUGUUUCCAUUUGCCAAGCACUGUUCUAAGUACUUUUUAUGUAAUCACUCUUUUAAUCACAACACAGUAUGAGGCGAGCACUAUGGAAAACUGAGGCACAGAGACAUUAAGUGACUUGUCCAGGAUCACAGAGCUAGUAGGAGACAGGGCUGGGAUCUGAACCCAGCUUCAGUCCUCCUAACUAGUAUCCUACUCUCCCUUUGACCAGUACAGCCUUUCGAGGGGUAGACAUCAUUUCCCCAGAGCCCACUGGGAAGGUCUGAGGAAUGUGGGGUAAGAAGGUUAUGGAACACACCUGUGACCUCAUGCACACACACAGUCAGGGCUCAAAUAUCCUUCCAGACCCAGGAGCAAAUGUGAAUCGCAUGUCCAUUAACUAAGAGGGUUAGGGACCCAUGGGGGAUAGGAAUGAGAGUAGGGAAACAAGGUGGGGUAGGGGAAGGGGGCACUAAGGAACUGGCUGGACUUCUCUGUCCCUUGAACUGAGAUGAAACAGGCAGAUAGGAGACAACCCUUAGCUAUGUCCUGGGUUCUUCAUAAGAAGGAGGUUGAGGAGGUGUCAUCCCCUAAUAGGCACCCUAUCUCUGGUCCCAACCUCAGCCCCUUACCAAAGGUCACUCUGCUUCUGUCCUCUCAAAGUCCUUACCUUUGCACGUCUUCCUGUCUGGCUGCAGCAUGAA